GACUCUCGGCAACGGAUAUCUCGGCUCUCGCAUCGAUGAAGAACGUAGCGAAGUGCGAUACUUGGUGUGAAUUGCAGAAUCCCGCGAACCAUCGAGUUUUUGAACGCAAGUUGCGCCCGAGGCGUCUCCGCCGAGGGCACGCCUGCCUGGGCGUCGCGCAUCG
This 163-nucleotide ribosomal RNA is filed under the name Utricularia alpina. Its description in RNAcentral is "5.8S ribosomal RNA". It matches the Rfam family "5.8S ribosomal RNA". From Rfam's summary of the family: 5.8S ribosomal RNA (5.8S rRNA) is a component of the large subunit of the eukaryotic ribosome. RNAcentral also lists the same sequence under 2 other names. The record is from RNAcentral. Lineage: Eukaryota; Viridiplantae; Streptophyta; Magnoliopsida; Lamiales; Lentibulariaceae.